Molecule: ribosomal RNA, 469 nt
Filed under: uncultured bacterium
Lineage: Bacteria
Description: partial 16S ribosomal RNA
Rfam family: Bacterial small subunit ribosomal RNA
Source: RNAcentral
GACGAACGCUGGCGGCGUGCUUAACACAUGCAAGUCGAACGGAUAUUCCCUGCUUUUGUGGUGUGCUCGAGUGGCGAACGGGUUGGUAACACGGGAGUAACCUGGCCUGUACUCUGGGAUAACGUCGGGAAACUGGGGCUAAUACCGGAUAUGAUCUCCUGCUGUAUGGUGUGGUGUGGAAAGGUUCGGCGGUUGGGGAUGUUCUGGCGGCGUAGGAGCUUGUUGGGGGGGGAGUGGCUUACCAAGGCUUUGACGGGUAGCCGGCCUGAGAGGGUGAACGGCCCCAUUGGGACUGCGAGAGGGACCAGACGCCAACGGGAGGCAGCAGUGGGGAAUCUUGCACAACGGGCCGAAGCCAGAUGAAGAAACGUCGCGGGCGGAAUGACGGCCUUGGGGUUGUAAACCGGGUUCGCCUGUGACGAAGCGUGAGUGAAGGUAAUGGGUAAAGAAGCACAGGCUAAAGACGUGC